AUGCAUUGUCAGUCGACAAUGUUUGUCUUUCUAAAGACAUGUCUCAAUACUACCGCUAUAUACAUUUGUGCUGAAUAUAACGUCACUGCGCAUGUGCGGGUUAAACUCUGUUGGAAUGUGAAUCUUUGGUGGCUUGUGGUUCAGUUGGUAGGAGUUCAGUCAGAUAUGUGUCCUUAAUGCAGCAACACUGGGACACGGAAUACCAGCUUUCAACUGAUGGAAUUAAGGAUCUCACAGACAUUUAGAAGAACUACGUGUGUAUGAGUGUACUCAAAGAGAAUGUGUAGAUAUACCAGAAACAACGCAGAGAAGGUUCUGGAAACAAACAUAAAAGUUAUGUGAAGCUAAUGUCACAAAGGACUAAUAUGGCUUCCUAAUUUUGAAAACAGAAAAUUCUCGUGUGGACCAACUGUUGUUUGACUGCAGCGUGGGUUAAUAGUUCUUCGUCACGUCUAACCUACUCACAAUCCCCUUCCAACCAUGUAUCGAAGGAAUGGCUUCGACAGCCGGCGGCUACAGCGGACCCCUCGUCUAGAGAUGGCGGUCUGGCAGGACCUGGUGAGCGACACGGGGCACAUGCACAUGCCCGGGUAUGACCCCAAUGACCCUUACAGCUGCACGUGCUACCCCAAGCCAUCCAGCAUCCAGAUCCCGUCCAUGGUGUAUGACGAGAUCCGGUGUCCUCACCCCGAGAAGCAUCACCUUCAGCCGGCCCAGGACGAUGUGUUCGCGUAUCCCUGGACGGUGCAGACAUAUGAACCUCCAUUUGACAAGAACUCGUACAGACCCAUGAGUCUCCCACCAAGGCCGCCGAUGUCCGCUAAGACCGCCCCGCCCUAUGUUGGCAUGAAAGCCAAGAAACCACAGAGUGUGGCUCCACCUCCUAACUCAGCUCCUGACAAGGUCAAGGUUCCAAAGUUGGACCUGAAUCUUCUUGAGCAGCCCCAAAGAUCAAAGGUAGUGACAACACCGACGUUAACGACAAUCGGUGAAGCUCAGGACGACUUCGCGGAGACGAAGGGCAACUAUCCCACCAUCACCCAGUACGACAGCGUUAGCCAAGUGCUACAGAGACGUUACUCCUCCUACUACCGGAACCCGGCCCCCACGCCGCUCCACUUCAAAGACCCAGACAGGAACAUGAUGCGGAGGACACCGGUGCGAGAUCCCCCCUACAAGGGGAUGCCCCCCAGGACGAGGGAGGUGAUCACACGGGACCUACCCACCAGGAAUAGUGCCUACUACAGCAGGUUCGAGUACAGCCCACCGCCCCAGGUCCGGGGCACCCCCGGGAUGAGAUCCUACACAGCCACUAUGGACCCAGUCCCCACAAGGCAGUUCGAAGGACAUUACGUCGACCCGAAGACGGGAAAGGAAUUCAAGUAUGACGUCCGAUAUGGAAAACGGGACCUUGAGGGCAACAGAAGCCUGAUCACAGCCUGACCAAUUGACCACAGACGACGGCCAGUGACCAGCUCGGUAUAAUCAACACGGACAAAGGGUAGCUAGCUCAUCCCAGAUCACAGAGGGCUACACAACUGGGAAUCGGUAGUACUGGGAGCAUAAUAGGACGACAGUGGCACAAAGUAUGUCGUCUCGCAGGUGGUACGUGGGACUGAGGCAGUGUAAGGACGUCCCCGUCACUGCCACAUGUAUGUGACACUCGAGUCUAGUUUUAUCUAAGGGGCCUUUCAAGAAGAGUAUGCCCAGACAUCUUCCUAUGGCCAACACAUUACAGUAAUAGUGUUCAUGAACAUACCCACAUGUGCUCACAGCAUGGUCACUUAACAACUACUGCUGACACGGGGGAAAUCAAGUUCAGCCUAUUAGGUAUGCCGCAAAGUAUUUAGAUAAACAUCAAACAUCAGAAGUACUCCGCAUGACGUAUGUAACCAUGUCCUUCCAACUGUGUCUUGUAGCAGUGUCUUAUCACCGAUCCCACCAGGUCAGGAAUUAAAACAGUACUUCCAGAUACCGAGCUUGUCAGUCAGGGACCGUCAAGAGCAAUAACUAAAGGAAACACUGAUACCACCUCUUAAGGAAUGACUAGUAGAUGGACGCCACAAUGCCUGUGCUACCGACAUAGUGCGGCAGAAGUAACGUGUAACAAGAUUGGGUAUUGCAAAAAGUCAUGAUGUAUUUAUCUGGGCAAUGAUUUGCAUCGUCUUGGAACAUUGGUUGUGUACUACAGAACCUCAGUUCACGUAUUGGGAGUCUUGUGUAGGUCAUGGACGUCAACAGCAGGUGGGCGUCAUCUGAGUCUGGUGUAGGUCAUGUAUUUCAACAGCAUUUUGGCGUCAUGUCAGUCUGGUAUAGGUCAUGUAUUUCAACAGCAGGGGGGCGUCAUCUGAGUCUGGUGUAGGACAUGGACGCCAACAGCAGGGGGGCGCCAGCUGAGACUGGUGUAGGUCAUGUAUUUCAACAACAGGUGGGCGUCAUGUCAGUCUGGUGUAGAUCAUGUAUUUCAACAGUAGAUGGGCGUCAUCUGAGACUGGUGAAGGUCAUGUAUUUUAACAGCAGGUGGGCGUCAUCUGAGACUGGUGUAGGACAGGACGUCAACAGCAGGUGGGCGCCAGCUGAGACUGGUGUAGGUCAUGUAUUUCAACAACAGGUUGGCGUCAUGUCAGUCUGGUGUAGAUCAUGUAUUUCAACAGUAGAUGGGCGUCAUCUGAGACUGGUGUAGGUCAUGUUUUUCAACAGUAGGUGGGCGUCAUCUGAGACUGGUGUAGGUCAUGUAUUUCAACAGCAGGUGGGCAUCAUCUGAGACUGGUGAAGGUCGUGUAUUUCAACAGCAGCUGGUCGUCAUCUAAGUCUGGCGUGGGUCAUGUAUUUCAACAGCAGAAGGGCAUCAUCUGAGACUGGUGUAGGUCAUGUAUUUCAACAGCAGGUGGGCGUCAUUUAAGUCUGGUGUAGGUCAUGUAUUUCAACAGAAGGGGGGCUUCAUCUGAGACUGGUGUAGGUCAUGUAUUUCAACAGUAGGUGGGCGUCAUCUGAGACUGGUGUAGGUAAUGUAUUUCAACAGCAGGUGGGCGUCAUCUGAGACUGGUGUAGGUCAUGUAUUUCAACAGCAGGUGGGCAUCAUCUGAGGCUGGUGUAGGUCAUGUAUUUCAACAGCAGGGGGGCAUCAUCUGAGACUGAUGUAGGUCAUGUAUUUCAACAGCAGGUGGGCAUCACCUGUGUCUGGUGUAGGUCAUGUAUUUCAACAGUAGGUGGGCGUCAUCUGAGACUGGUGUAGGUCAUGUAUUUCAACAGCAGGUGGGCGUCAUCUGAGACUGGUGUAGGUCAUGGACUCACUGUUUGGUCCCAACAUUUAUUUUAUUUUCCUUGGUGAGGACAAAUGAUAACAAACCUACCCAAUGUUAAAAAAAACAAUUUUGUUGCAUGAAUUGUCAUUAUUACCGACACUUAUCAAUAAGUUAUUAUGUAUAAUGUGUUCACUUAAACCGAGCUUGUACUUUAUAUAUGAUAUUUGAUGCUGUAUAUUCAUGAGUGGCCAAGAAAGGUUUAGUAUCUCCCGUACCUUGCCGUAUCUUGUCAGGCGAACUCGACUGUGUUCUGUUUCCUAUCUGGUUGUGAUGCACUGUGUCACAAUAUCCUUCAACACACCCUUUAUAGUGCACUGUGUAUGUGCACUUCAAAAUGGCGAUGUGUUCACUUUGUAUGCAACAACUAUUCAUGUAUCAAAUUGUAUUUGUUCAUAAAAAUGUCAAAAUAA
RNAcentral lists this unclassified non-coding RNA (3715 nucleotides) under Haliotis rufescens (red abalone). Its description in RNAcentral is "leucine-rich repeat extensin-like protein 1, transcript variant X1". Lineage: Eukaryota; Metazoa; Mollusca; Gastropoda; Lepetellida; Haliotidae. The record is from RNAcentral.